UCUCACUUCUGCAGUAGGCCUCUAGAUGUCCAUGAUCCUGCCUUCUCAGAAAGAGAGGGAGGACAUGCGGCUGGAGGGACACAGAGGGCAAGACUGCAUCCCAGUUACAACACCAGGAAGCCACGUCUGAAAGGAAACUCCUCAGAAACCUGGGCAUAGGCUGUCAGGAAAGUAAAGAAGACAUCUGGAGAGGAAGCACCUUUGCGGCCCAGAAGGUGCCAAAAACAUCCUGAGAUAAGCGUUCCUUGGCAAACUGGGAUCACGCCUGAGGUGGGGGAGGUGGCCUUACGCAGAGGCCCUGGAGAAGUGAAACAGGAAAGACACUGAGUCCCUUUCAUUCAAUAAUGAAACCUGUAGAAGAUCGAUCAAGUUGAACUCGGUUGGAUACGAAAAAAUCACCGACCAAAAAGUGACAUCCCCAUCCUGCAACUAUUUUUGUAUCCCCACGAAAUUCCACGGGGCUGCAUCCACUGAUAGGAGAAGGCACACUUCUAAAAUCAGGAGAGGGUAUCCAGGAACAAGGAACAAACAUGAAAAACGAAUCCGUAGCCUGGCCACACUGGUUUUAACUCCACAGGCCUGAAGACGCAAGCAGAAGAGACUCAGGAAAGCCAAGGACUGAGCGAAUUCACAAUGCAAGCAGGAACAUCAGAAGGCAAAUUAGGGCCCACAUGGUUUCGGUUUUAAUGUUCUUCGUUUUGUUUUGUAUUUUUCUUUAGAGAUGGCAUCCUG
Long non-coding RNA from Cercocebus atys (sooty mangabey), 732 nucleotides. RefSeq lists it as uncharacterized. NCBI's taxonomy places the organism in Eukaryota, Metazoa, Chordata, Mammalia, Primates, Cercopithecidae. The record is from RefSeq and is a predicted model, not a curated record. The transcript is spliced from 5 exons.